This 910-nucleotide long non-coding RNA is filed under the name Homo sapiens (human). RNAcentral describes it as "novel transcript". Lineage: Eukaryota; Metazoa; Chordata; Mammalia; Primates; Hominidae. The record is from RNAcentral.
ACCUUUACUUAGCCUCACAACAUGGGCCUUAGCUUUAGCACUUAAUCUGCACAAAUACCUGGCUUAAGUGUUAUGACUGACUGGCUAUUCAACCAAACCAUACAAAUGACCAAUUCGGUAAGAAAGCAUGAACUUCAGUGUUGAACCAAAUCAACCAACCUCCUCAAUCCAAAUGGAGAGGAUAACAAAGGAAGCUGAGGAAGUCUGUUCUGGAGGCACCAUGACAAAGCACCAGACAGAAAGCAGUCACGUGUGGGGAGAUGAGCAGAGACACCACUUCUCAAGCACCUGAUUAUUCUUUCUCAGUAUUUAGAAGCAAAAAUUAUCCUUAAGAAAAACAACCGCAAACGCAACACAGGCUACACAGAUGAGAAAAUGGGCUCAUGAAACACUGCACUAAACAGUCACAGGACCAAGAUAUAGAUUCCUAUUUCCAGGUGAACAUAAAGAUUUUUCAGUCAAUAGCAUACACUGAACAUUGCUUCUAUAUAAAGAGCAGUGUUUCUCAAAGUGUGGUCCUUGGAACAGCAGCAUCAGUAGCAUCGGCUUGCAGAGCUCAAACCAUUACACCAUUCAGAAGCUGGCUUUGGUAUUACUUCAAGUUAUUCAAAACAGUCACCACUUGCUGAGCCUCUGAUGUCUCAUCUGUUGAAUGGGUACAUUUUCUUCCUGAUCCUUCCACCUCUAAACUUGUCUAUUUCCAAGGAUCUAUGGCAUCCAGGCAUAUGAUUUCAAGAGAGAAGGCUGAAAAGGAAGGUGACUGGAAUAUUAAGAACUGUGAGAUAUUCUGAGGAAACUCUAAUUUGUAAAUUGGUAGAAAUGCCAGUAAUUUGUUGGGAAUUGAAGACCCUCUGUAUUCAAGAGCGAAGCUUGGCAGCUGUGCACUGUUGUUUUAUAAAUCAAUAUUACA